RNAcentral lists this ribosomal RNA (468 nucleotides) under uncultured bacterium. RNAcentral's name for it is "partial 16S ribosomal RNA". It matches the Rfam family "Bacterial small subunit ribosomal RNA", at positions 28 to 507 of the family's 1533-position model. The record is from RNAcentral.
GACGAACGCUGGCGGCGUGCUUAACACAUGCAAGUCGAACGGAAAGGCCCUGCUUUUGUGGGGUGCUCGAGUGGCGAACGGGUGAGUAACACGUGAGUAACCUGCCCUUGACUUUGGGAUAACUUCAGGAAACUGGGGCUAAUACCGGAUAGGAGCUCCUGCUGCAUGGUGGGGGUUGGAAAGUUUCGGCGGUUGGGGAUGGACUCGCGGCUUAUCAGCUUGUUGGUGGGGUAGUGGCUUACCAAGGCUUUGACGGGUAGCCGGCCUGAGAGGGUGACCGGGCACAAUGGGACUGAGGUACGGCGCAGAGUCCUACGGGAGGCAGAGGUGGGGAAUAUUGCACAAUGGGGGGGAGCGUGAUGCGGCAACGCCGCGUGCGGGAUGACGGCCUUCGGGUUGUAAACCGCUUUCGCCUGUGACGUAGCGGGAGUGACGGUAAUGGGUAAAGAAGCACCGGCUAACUACGUG